RNAcentral lists this long non-coding RNA (314 nucleotides) under Elaeis guineensis (African oil palm). RNAcentral's name for it is "long non-coding RNA (EGUI_LNC048488)". The record is from RNAcentral. Lineage: Eukaryota; Viridiplantae; Streptophyta; Magnoliopsida; Arecales; Arecaceae.
AGCCCCACUAAGAUAAAUAUUUUGUAUAUCCUGUUUAUUAUAAAAGAUGACUAUGAUAUUUGAUAAAAUAGUGAGAGACAUAAUUAAACAAAAGACCUUAUUUAAUUAUGCAUGUCAUCAUGAGUGGUUGCUUAUGUAUUAUUCUUUAUUUAAUAUAGAUUAAAAUUCUACAAUGGCAUCUUCAUUAUCAUUGCGAGAAAUUUUAAAUUUCAACAAAUUGAUCAGUUCCAAUUACGUGGACUGAUUGAGAAAUUUAAAAAUAGUGCUCACUCAGGAGAAGCUUUCCUAUAUUCUUAAUAUCCUUGAAUCACAAG